UUUGUUCCUGGACUCUUCAGUGAUGACGAGCAGAGUCUGAGUGAACCUGCUGUCAGACAGGUUGGCCUGAUUGACGAUGUCAUCGUCCAUCGCCGAUGGCUGAUAGACAUCACGAUGCUGCGCUGGCAAACAGCGUCAUCAGCUGCAGUAUCUCGCCCGUGCAUUUGUUGUCAUGCGGAGAAGUCACGUUCUAUAGACAGUUUCUAUAGACAGUUGUGAACGUGCUGACAGCUGGUUGCCCAGGCUAUGGAUUAAAGGAUGGCCAUCCCAAGGUUUCUAGAGAUUACAGCAGCUCCAGACUGAAUCCAAACUCACUCGUGAAGACUUCAGAUGAGACCAACGCUCACAAAGACUACAGACGACAACUGUACAUGAACACACAAAAC
Molecule: long non-coding RNA, 386 nt
Organism: Carassius auratus (goldfish)
Lineage: Eukaryota; Metazoa; Chordata; Actinopteri; Cypriniformes; Cyprinidae
Exons: 3
Source: RefSeq, a predicted model, not a curated record